RNAcentral lists this ribosomal RNA (460 nucleotides) under uncultured bacterium. RNAcentral describes it as "partial 16S ribosomal RNA". It matches the Rfam family "Bacterial small subunit ribosomal RNA", at positions 338 to 795 of the family's 1533-position model. The record is from RNAcentral.
CCUACGGGUGGCAGCAGUGAGGAAUAUUGGUCAAUGGGCGCGAGCCUGAACCAGCCAAGUAGCGUGAAGGAUGACUGCCCUAUGGGUUGUAAACUUCUUUUAUAUGGGAAUAAAGUGUUCCACGUGUGGCCUUUUGUAUGUACCUUAUGAAUAAGGAUCGGCUAACUCCGUGCCAGCAGCCGCGGUAAUACGGAGGAUCCGAGCGUUAUCCGGAUUUAUUGGGUUUAAAGGGAGCGUAGAUGGGUUGUUAAGUCAGUUGUGAAAGUUUGCGGCUCAACCGUAAAAUUGCAUUUGAUACUGGCAGUCUUGAGUACAGUAGAGGUGGGCGGAAUUCGUGGUGUAGCGGUGAAAUGCUUAGAUAUCACGAAGAACUCCGAUUGCGAAGGCAGCUCACUGGACUGCCACUGACACUGAGGCUCGAAAGUGUGGGUAUCAAACAGGAUUAGAUACCCGGGUAGUC